Molecule: unclassified non-coding RNA, 4075 nt
Filed under: Hevea brasiliensis (rubber tree)
Lineage: Eukaryota; Viridiplantae; Streptophyta; Magnoliopsida; Malpighiales; Euphorbiaceae
Source: RNAcentral
CCUCUGAUGGCAAAUCUAUGUAUGUGCCAACUCGCUCUACAGCAUUUAAACUAUUCUCAGCCAAACUUGCAAGUCUUAGUACACCGGUCAGUAAACCAGUAAUAUUUAAGGCAUAGCUGAGAAGUAGACCCAUUGUAGAUGCAAAUGCCUGUUGGUUCUCUGCCCUUCCAUUCUGCAUCACAGCAAAGGUUGCUGUAAGCCAAAUCAUAAUGCCUCCCAAUGUUUCCAGACGGAUAGCAAGCCAACGAUUUGCACUCAUGUUGACAAGGGUGAAUCUGAUACUGUUGUCCAUAGAUCUACCAUUGAUGUCGGCCAUCCGAUCAUAAGCUUUGUAUGCACGAAUAGUUGACAGACCGUUUAGAGCUUCUCCAAAUUGUGCAUAAACAGGUGAUCUACUUAUAGAAUCCAAGCGCUUUACUUCGCGGGCUGUGCUCUGAUAAUAUAGAUAGGCUCCAUAAAACAGAACUAAAAGCGGCAUUAUGGCCCACAAUGACAUAGUGCUCACAAUUCCAAUGAGGAUAAAUGUAGAAAGGAGCUGUGACACUUGACCCAGAAACAUAUUCACAAAUGGGGCAACAUUCCUAUCAAUGUCACCAAGAUCCUUUGCAAACCUAUUGAUAAUGCGUCCAAGUGGAUUGGUGUGAAAGAAGACCAUUGGAGCUCUCAAUAUGGAAUUAAGCAUAGCAUCAUGCAACCUUCUGGCAGCAUAAAGACUUGAAAUGAUCAACCAAUAUGAAUUUAAUAAUGUCACCAUAACCUGACCAAAUGAUAGAAGGGAGUAUAUAAGAUUGUAGUAAAGGGGCCCAUGGAUCUUUGUAGUGCCUUGAUCUGUCCAAUUACUUAACCAAGUACUACUGGAAACUCGCAAAACUUCUGUAAGGACAUAGCACAUAAAGAGUAUCAAUACCACCCAGGCACCUCCUAAUGCAUUCUUGUACCUCAUCAAAACAUUCCAACUGACAACACCUGUUUCCCGUUCUUCCUGCUUGAUAAGAAUAGACUUGCCUUCCUUUCGUUUUUUGGUCUCCGUUGCAUUCUUACGCAAGUCAUUCAUUGCCCCAUUAGCAACAGGUUUUGAAGAGGUUUUAAGAUCAAAAGUUUCACCAUUUUCCUUUUCUUCCACAUACUCUUCCAUUUUUCCUGCAUUUUCCAUCAGCUUUUGGAACAGCAUGCCAUUGUUGGAGAGCUCCUCAAAGGUUCCCUCCUCUUUCACCAUACCCUCAUGGACCAGCAUAAUUCUAUCAACUUGAGAAAGAAAAUGGAGCUGGUUUGUGACAAGAACUCUCGUUUUCGCACUCAAUUCUCCCUUGAUACAUUUAUCAAAAACCUGUCGAGCUACAUGAGCAUCGAGAGCACUUAAGGGAUCAUCAAAAAUGUAUACAUCUGAAUUGGAAUACACAGCCCUAGCCAUGGAAACUCUUUGUUUUUGCCCACCACUAAUAUUCACCCCUCUUUCGCCAAUCUCAGUGAGAUCACCACCAGGCAAUAAGUCAAGGUCAUGCUGCAAUGAAGUCACAUCUAUUGCCUUCUCAUAUCUUACUGAAUCAAAGGGAGAUCCAAAAAGUAUGUUGUCCCGUACAGUUGCAUUAAAAAUCCAUGAAACUUGUGGAACAUAAGCAACUGUUCCCCUAAUAACAGCACUUGCAUCUGAUAUCGCAGGAAGCUCCCCAAGCAUUGCUGAAAUUAAUGAGGUCUUUCCCUCUCCAGUACUACCAACAAUUGCCACUAGGCUACCAAUAGGUAUGUCCACAUUGAUGUUUGAUAAUGUAGGCCUCUCUGCCUUUGAAUCCCAAGAGAAGUAUCCAUUUUUUAUUGAGAUGGCGGGUUGUCCUGUCUCAAGAGGAGGGUUUGGUAGAAGGAUCCUCUCUUCAGCCAGAAGUAGUUCCUCCAAACGCUUUAGGGAUACAUUUGCAUUCACUACCUGGGUAAUAAUAUUAGGAAGCAUAAAGAGGGGAAAGCGAAGCACGGCAAACAGGGAAAGUGAUGUAAAUGCCCUUGCAGGUGUCAGAUCUCCCCCAAGCAAAGUGAACAUACCAAAUGAAAUCACAGUGACCACCACAGGGAUGCUGUUUAGUAUAAAACCAUUACACGCUCCCAGUAGUGAUGCUUUUCGGAACCAUGACAAUUCAUCAUCACGAACAGUUUGAACUUUAGCCUGGAAACUGUUCUCCCAUGCAUAACACUUCACAGCGUCCAUUGCAGCCAAAAUUUCAUUCAUAAGGCCAAUCCUCUUGUCAGUGCGCUGCAAGCCCUCCUUUGACAAUUUCUGCAUUCUGCUUAUAACAAAUGUCUGUAUGGGAAAGAGGAGUACUAGUAUUACUGCACCAAGAAGUGAUGCAACGCCCAACUGCUGAAAAAGCAAAACCAUUGCAAUGAUAAUACGAAACGGAGCUGACCACAGAGUGUGAAGGGAUUGGCAUACUUGCUGAAGUGCUUCAGCAUCAGUGGUCAUCAAGUUCGUUAUUUUUCCAGAUGCAAACUUUCGCCGACUCUCAUGAGUUAGCCUUAGAGAUUUCCGAAAUACAGCAGCAAUCAAAGUUGAUCUCAGCCGGUAACCAAUACGCAUGACAUUCUGAAAAUACUGAGCUUCAAAUAACACACCCAAUACCACCCCAGCAAAAAUUGAGAAAGCAUAGAUGUAUCCAAUCCACGCUGGAUCACCUUCUUGCAUAGACUGUAGGAGUUGGUUCAAUAGAAGUGGCCCCACAAAUUGGGAAACAUCAUUGCCAAUCUUCCAAAAGCCUCCCCACCAAAACCUUCCUCCGAGGCUACUAUUUAAUGCUCUUAAAAGCCAUGGAUUAGGCCUUCGUGAUUCCUCAGCCCAACAUUUCUGGAACCUGUCGUUCAGUGUUUCAGUCCGAUCCCACAUGUCUAGUUUCCAAAUAUCCUUCUCAGUGAGAGGCCUUUUGUAUCCUAGCUUCAUUAUAGGAUUCAUCCAUGCAAAAAUAGUUUUGGAAAAUAUGUUGACAUGCUGCUCAGGACAUACGUACUCUCCUCCAGGAAGUUCUUGAUAGUCAACAUCAUCAACAUAUUCAGACCGUAAGGGAGUGUAAUCAGGGUAAGAAUCCAAGUCAGGAACGUACACAAGCAGAAGUAUUCCAAAUAAAACCUGAACAAAGACCUCACUGAUGUAUAAAUACAGAACGGAACUAUUGUAGAACUCUUUCACUGCAAGAAUAAGAUUGAACAUUACUGCAUCUCCCACCAAAGUGUAAAGAACCCCAAAUCUAACAAACCAUCGAAAUUCACGAAUGUAGACUUUGGUUUCCACACUGAUCAUGACAAGCACAGAGCACCAAGCAAGAGCCUCAAUAAUCAAGGAAACAAUCUCAUAAGGAGCAAGUUCCUUCUGCCCAUCUAUGUUCAGAGUUGAAAUUCCCAUGAUCAAUCUGAACAAAGGCUCUGCGGUAGAAUAACCAGCUAGUAGCCCCAAGAAAUAGUUAUACCGUUUCGAUCUCAAACAGAAUCGCUGGAUCUUGAAAUCUUUCUUAGUGAGCCAUAUUCGAUAAAAGCAAAGAGCCAUGAGAACCAAGUGAGAAAUAACCACCACCAGAGUGUCUGUGGCACAAGGUGUAUAGGCGCCAAAGGCAUUUUCCACUGCCCUUGUCCAGAGUCCAUUAGCCACUGGCCGGCAAUACCAAACCAAAGGCUCAAAGGCCAUCUUUUUAUCACUUUCCGACCACUAUUCUUCACCGCGUAAAUGCAUAAUCAACAGCAAAUUAAUUCUCGUAUUCGCUAUGAGAGGUGUGAAUGGGAAUCAAAAAGCAAAGUCUUAGCGUGGAGAAAUCAGAGAAAAACUACCAAACAAGAAACAAGGAGUUCUGGUUUCUCUGGAGAAAGAGGCCAAACAGAAAUGACUGAUUGUAUCUAAAUUGAGGGCCCAGAAAUGAGACUUCACAGAGGCGGGCGUCUCGGAUCUCUCCAGUAAUCGGCAGCUCAGAAAGGGUAUUAUUGUCUUUCCCUAUUGCCGGCGGGAUUGGAGAAGGGAUAAGAGAGAUGUAAGUGAUUAAUAAAAAAAUUUUAUAAAAUGUGGAACUUUUUCUUGAAAGAAAAAAGAUAAAUUUUUUAAUUUUUA